RNAcentral lists this ribosomal RNA (497 nucleotides) under uncultured bacterium. RNAcentral describes it as "bacterial SSU rRNA". It matches the Rfam family "Bacterial small subunit ribosomal RNA", at positions 15 to 507 of the family's 1533-position model. The record is from RNAcentral.
GAUCAUGGCUCAGAUUGAACGCUGGCGGCAUGCCUUACACAUGCAAGUCGAACGGCAGCACGGGAGCAAUCCUGGUGGCGAGUGGCGAACGGGUGAGUAAAGUAUCGGAACGUACCUUUCAGUGGGGGAUAACGUAGCGAAAGUUACGCUAAUACCGCAUAUUCUGUGAGCAGGAAAGCAGGGGAUCGCAAGACCUUGCGCUGAUUGAGCGGCCGAUAUCAGAUUAGCUAGUUGGUGGGGUAAAGGCCUACCAAGGCGACGAUCUGUAGCGGGUCUGAGAGGAUGAUCCGCCACACUGGAACUGAGACACGGUCCAGACUCCUACGGGAGGCAGCAGUGGGGAAUUUUGGACAAUGGGCGCAAGCCUGAUCCAGCCAUGCCGCGUGAGUGAAGAAGGCCUUCGGGUUGUAAAGCUCUUUCGGCCGGGAAGAAAUCGCAUGGGUUAAUACCCUGUGUGGAUGACGGUACCGGAAUAAGAAGCACCGGCUAACUACGUG